UACGUAGGGGGCAAGCGUUGUCCGGAAUCAUUGGGCGUAAAGAGCGUGUAGGCGGCCCGAUAAGUCCGCCGUGAAAGCCCAGGGCUCAACCCUGGGAUGCCGGUGGAUACUGUCGGGCUAGAGUUCGGAAGAGGCAAGUGGAAUUCCUGGUGUAGCGGUGAAAUGCGCAGAUAUCAGGAGGAACACCUAUGGCGAAGGCAGCUUGCUGGGACGACACUGACGCUGAGACGCGAAAGCGUGGGGAGCAAACAGG
Molecule: ribosomal RNA, 253 nt
Filed under: uncultured bacterium
Lineage: Bacteria
Description: partial 16S ribosomal RNA
Rfam family: Bacterial small subunit ribosomal RNA
Source: RNAcentral